UUAAAACAAUGGGCCGCCAUCUUGGUCUGCAACACUCUGGUUAUCACAGCCUCUGAAGCAGUCCAUGUUCACCAUGGUCAGGUUGACAAAGGUUUUCAGGUGUCACUCGGCCAGGUAUCAUCCCAGCAUGGAAUACCUUAAAGUGGACAGACAGCUAGCUACCUGUCACAUCAUGGUCAAUCACAUCACCUGGUGCCAUCUCCCCUCCACAGUCAGGUGCCCCCUGAUCUGACCUGAGAUAGCCAGCACCUUG
Molecule: long non-coding RNA, 253 nt
Organism: Ostrea edulis (European flat oyster)
Lineage: Eukaryota; Metazoa; Mollusca; Bivalvia; Ostreida; Ostreidae
Exons: 3
Source: RefSeq, a predicted model, not a curated record